AUUGAACGCUGGCGGAAUGCUUUACACAUGCAAGUCGAACGGCAGCACGGGAGCUUGCUCCUGGUGGCGAGUGGCGAACGGGUGAGUAACGCGUCGGAACGUACCGAGGUAAUGGGGGAUAACGCAGCGAAAGCUGUGCUAAUACCGCAUACGCCCUGAGGGGGAAAGUGGGGGAUCGCAAGACCUCACGUUAUUCGAGCGGCCGACGUCUGAUUAGCUUGUUGGUGAGGUAAUGGCUCACCAAGGCGACGAUCAGUAGCGGGUCUGAGAGGAUGAUCCGUCACACUGGAACUGAGACACGGUCCAGACUCCUACGGGAGGCAGCAGUGGGGAAUUUUGGACAAUGGGGGAAA
This 353-nucleotide ribosomal RNA is filed under the name uncultured bacterium. RNAcentral's name for it is "bacterial SSU rRNA". It matches the Rfam family "Bacterial small subunit ribosomal RNA", at positions 30 to 380 of the family's 1533-position model. The record is from RNAcentral.